This 282-nucleotide long non-coding RNA is filed under the name Mus musculus (house mouse). Its description in RNAcentral is "long non-coding RNA chr2:153413848-153414130". Lineage: Eukaryota; Metazoa; Chordata; Mammalia; Rodentia; Muridae. The record is from RNAcentral.
GCUGGGCAUAAACUUGCUCUAAAAACCAUUGAUUAGGUAUCUUUUGUGUAGCUCAUGCCCCAAAACCAGAAGGCAGUUGGAAAUGCCCUGAAGUCCUGGAAUGAGACCCUCCACCCCAGGUUGGCUAGUUUGUCUGAGAAACCACCUGCGAUUGACUGGGCUUACUACAGGGCCAAUGUGGCCAAGCCUGGCUUGGUGGAUGACUUUGAAAAGCAGUAUAAUGCCCUGAAGAUCCCUGUGCCUGAGGAUAAACACACAGCCCUGGUGGACAAGAGGAGACGG